ACUCCAGUCCAGUAGGUAGCGGUAAAUGCACCUAAAGUUGGUUUGCCAUCCGCCAAUAAAAAUCAGAAGAAGAAGAAGCAGCAGCAGCAGCAACAGGAACAGGGUGUGGCAGCAGCAGCAACAGGAACAUGGUGUGGUAAGCAGUAGGAGAUUUGGAGCUAGCCGUCCUUGAAUUUUUGGUUUUGUUUUAUGCCAUACUGAACCUGCAUUAACGACGACAGUGUGGGCUCGCGGACAGCCUUAGCCACCGGGGGUGGUGGACAAGUCUAAAGUAAGGGAAGGUGUGUGUCCAUGUUGAGGUGGGCUGUGGAUGUUGUGGUGUGGUGUUUUUCACUCUGUAUUUACACAUCGGUUACAUCUCUAACUACACGUAAUGUCAUAAAACAAACCUGGCAAAAAAAAAAACAAAGACCCAUGAGGAAACCUUUACUUGAAAAACAUCCCAACAGUAAAUAAAUGUUAAAUUUUA
Tachysurus fulvidraco (yellow catfish) is the source of this 469-nucleotide long non-coding RNA. RefSeq lists it as uncharacterized. The record is from RefSeq and is a predicted model, not a curated record. NCBI's taxonomy places the organism in Eukaryota, Metazoa, Chordata, Actinopteri, Siluriformes, Bagridae. The transcript has 2 exons.